This 492-nucleotide ribosomal RNA is filed under the name uncultured bacterium. Its description in RNAcentral is "partial 16S ribosomal RNA". It matches the Rfam family "Bacterial small subunit ribosomal RNA", at positions 29 to 507 of the family's 1533-position model. The record is from RNAcentral.
AGUGAACGCUGGCGGUAGGCCUAACACAUGCAAGUCGAACGGCAGCACAGUAAGAGCUUGCUCUUACGGGUGGCGAGUGGCGGACGGGUGAGGAAUACAUCGGAAUCUACUUUUUCGUGGGGGAUAACGUAGGGAAACUUACGCUAAUACCGCAUACGACCUACGGGUGAAAGCAGGGGAUCUUCGGACCUUGCGCGAUUGAAUGAGCCGAUGUCGGAUUAGCUAGUUGGCGGGGUAAAGGCCCACCAAGGCGACGAUCCGUAGCUGGUCUGAGAGGAUGAUCAGCGACACUGGAACUGAGACACGGUCCAGACUCCUACGGGAGGCAGCAGUGGGGAAUAUUGGACAAUGGGCGCAAGCCUGAUCCAGCCAUACCGCGUGGGUGAAGGAGACCUUCGGGUUGUAAAGCCCUUUUGUUGGGAAAGAAAAGCAGCAGGUUAAUACCCCGCUGUUCUGACGGUACCCAAAGAAUAAGCACCGGCUAACUUCGUG